Molecule: transfer RNA, 67 nt
Filed under: Murina ussuriensis (Ussurian tube-nosed bat)
Lineage: Eukaryota; Metazoa; Chordata; Mammalia; Chiroptera; Vespertilionidae
Description: tRNA-Gly
Source: RNAcentral
AUUCUUUUAGUAUACCUAGUACAACUGACUUCCAAUCAGUUAGUCUUGAAUAAUUCAAGAAAGAAUA